This is a non-coding RNA of Coturnix japonica (Japanese quail), 2312 nucleotides long. The record is from RefSeq and is a predicted model, not a curated record. NCBI's taxonomy places the organism in Eukaryota, Metazoa, Chordata, Aves, Galliformes, Phasianidae.
CCUGUAUCAGCACACAAAAACAGCGCCACAAUACGUGAGAAACAGAGCCUUACAGAAGGGAUCCGACCUCAGCCUUUAUAUGCUGAGUGCUUUACAGGCUCGGACAACAAAAACAGCACCAUGGCACCAAGAGAAAUUAACCGCCUAAAACUGAACAAAACCACCUAUUUCAGCUCACCGCUGCCAGCUUCCACCAUAAACAAGCUUUGGAGAGGAGUCGCUGCAGAGCAGAUGAUGCGCACCUGAAAGGAACCAGGCAACCAUAUUCAGCACCCAUGCUGCAGAGCUCAGCACAGGAAGGAUUCCUGACCAGUGUCCAUACAGCCUGAAACCAUUUACUCUCAGGCUGGCUUCAUCACAAUCUCUCAUUACUAAAAUGUGGUCACGCUUAUCACUCACAGACAUACAAUACGUACUCAUUUGCCUUAUUCACAGUGGGGCAAUUUGUGACACCAGAAGGAUGUUUCCUUGCAGCCUUUGCUGCUUAUGUUCUGUGGAGUACUGAUAUUUAAUUGGCUGAAGGUGACAGGCAGGUCUGGGGGCUCUCGCUGUUAUUCCUACUCACAUUUGAAAGGCUCGGCUCUCACCUUAUGCUCGUAAAAGGUAUCAAUCAGAGUAAUGAAACGCCGAGCUUGAGUCCUUUUUGCCAUGGUAAGAGGUGGGAUGUCGCGAACAAAGACUGUGUCAAAAUGCUUCGAUAUUUCCAAGUAGUCACUGGCCCCAAGAGGCUGAAAUAAAACAAACCACAGGAAAUGGAAACCCGUGAGAGAAAGAUCCGUCACACCAUACCCUGAACUACUACGCUUACAGACGAAAGGGAGAAAAGUCCUCAUCACAUUCUUACUUAUAAGAUGUAUAGAUCAUUUUGCCCUUCCUGACCCAGGUAAGCGCGUGCUCACUCAUACCAAUAGCUUCACCCAAACACAGUUUGUUAAAAACUUGGCUCUUCUGCACCCUGACCACCUCAUGUCUUGACAGCUUCAAACAGAAAUGAAACACAAACUGUAAACAGUAAUACAUAGGAGAAUAAAAAUAGCUAAGCAACAAUGUCAACCUAAAGCCUAAAUAAUCUGCACAAUGAAUAGGAUGCCAACCAGCAGCAAGACCUCUGAAAGCACACACUAGUUACUAAAUCAUAAGUACAGCCGCAUGUGCUUUGCCUAUUAAUAACUCGGACAAAAAACUCUUCUGUUUUAAGUACCAAAAGCAAGAGGAAACAGACAAAGAGACUAUUUGUAGCAGUUCUUUUGUUUGCAGUUUCGCUUGUAAUGGUGCAAUAAAAUGCUUUAAUAAGAACUUUUGUUUCUAUUUGUGUACCUAAACCAUCAACAGAAGAUACAGACAAGAAGUGGUACCUCAUUCAAGUACACAUUCAAACGUAUUCAUUUAAAACGACUUUCAUUACAUGGAAGGUCUUUUUUUUUUUUCCUGUGAGGUCUACCCUAUUAGUACUGCCGGCAGUAUUUUAUCUUGAGCUUUUAAGUCACUAUAUUCAGGAAAAGAGCAUCACACACCUGAAAUCCAUCUCGUUAGUUUUACUUGUGUGGGUACAUGAGUGCAUUGAUGUGACCAUUCCAUAAAGUAAGAUCAGCAGCAUCCUGCACAACGUUACAACUCCCUUCCUAACGCAAUGCACUGCCCCAACAGGACAGCAUGGCAAUAAUGCAGGGCAAUAUUGCUAACAACUUAAAAACAGGAAAACAGACAUAUUGUACCUAACAAACUACUAAACAGAUUUACUGUAGGCCAAGCAAAGCCGCUUCACUAGAAUCUUUCCUCAAGAAAUCAUGGGCAAUUAUUAACGACCAUCCAUGAAGAGGACUUUGGGUUUUAUUUUGAGCAUGGAAACAAACCCCCAUUCAAAGUUGCACAUUCUGUUUACUUUCUCUCUGGUUUCAGUGCCCCCUGCAAUUAUUAUGGUGUGAAAAUGUCAAAGAAAGUCAAAGGAACCGGUGGACAAACACAGCAGAGUCAGCCCACUCAGCAUCUCACCUCUGGAUAAAGGUCAAGACCAGCUGGAAAACAAUCGUAUUGAGUGCAAAGGGAAACAAGGCAAAUAGUAAAAGCAUGACACACCUUGUGAAGAAAGGAAGACACUAUGCUACUUUUGCUUCUUUCUACUGCCAUAAAAGCACUGUUUAUAGGUGGCUACAAUAGGCAUCCUUACGACAGCCAAACAAGAAUUCAGCCUCCUUCAGCAGCACAAGAAGCACAAGAAGCUAAGGAAUAUUAUUAGUGAUCUUCUUAAUAAAAGUUAAGUCUGGUUAGUCUGGUUCUCUGAACAGCAUCCUACAAAUAACCACUUAACUUGG